This 72-nucleotide transfer RNA is filed under the name Ramlibacter sp. Its description in RNAcentral is "tRNA-Ile". It matches the Rfam family "tRNA". From Rfam's summary of the family: Transfer RNA (tRNA) molecules are approximately 80 nucleotides in length. Their secondary structure includes four short double-helical elements and three loops (D, anti-codon, and T loops). Lineage: Bacteria; Pseudomonadati; Pseudomonadota; Betaproteobacteria; Burkholderiales; Comamonadaceae. The record is from RNAcentral.
UCUCGCGUAGCUCAGUGGCAGAGCAGCGUCUUGAUAAGGCGCAGGCCGGUGGAUCGUUCCCAUCCGCGAGGA